UGGGGAAUUUUGGACAAUGGGCGCAAGCCUGAUCCAGCCAUGCCGCGUGAGUGAAGAAGGCCUUCGGGUUGUAAAGCUCUUUCGGCCGGGAAGAAAUCGCACAGGCUAAUACCUUGUGUGGAUGACGGUACCGGAAUAAGAAGCACCGGCUAACUACGUGCCAGCAGCCGCGGUAAUACGUAGGGUGCGAGCGUUAAUCGGAAUUACUGGGCGUAAAGCGUGCGCAGGCGGUUGUGUAAGACAGGCGUGAAAUCCCCGGGCUCAACCUGGGAACUGCGCUUGUGACUGCACGGCUAGAGUACGGCAGAGGGGGGUGGAAUUCCACGUGUAGCAGUGAAAUGCGUAGAGAUGUGGAGGAACACCGAUGGCGAAGGCAGCCCCCUGGGCCGAUACUGACGCUCAUGCACGAAAGCGUGGGUAGCAAACAG
RNAcentral lists this ribosomal RNA (428 nucleotides) under uncultured bacterium. RNAcentral describes it as "bacterial SSU rRNA". It matches the Rfam family "Bacterial small subunit ribosomal RNA", at positions 355 to 775 of the family's 1533-position model. The record is from RNAcentral.